Molecule: non-coding RNA, 523 nt
Organism: Poecilia reticulata (guppy)
Lineage: Eukaryota; Metazoa; Chordata; Actinopteri; Cyprinodontiformes; Poeciliidae
Source: RefSeq, a predicted model, not a curated record
UUUCCAGUCAUGCGAAAUUUCAACCAUCAACAACCGAGAAGCACGCUGAAAUGUUUACGGCGAGGCUCAUUGAUGCUACUCUAUGUACUCGGAAAUAUGAAGCUAAUGAACGUUAACUGAAWCCUUAUARCGGAGACGUUAAAUUAGUAAUUAGCUAUAUAUAACAUUUUUAAUAGCUAAAAACGAUUUAUUAGGUAGUUUCUUGUGUUAAUGGAACUUCCAUGUAGCAGUUGUUAAGUUUAAGGGAAACGUUUUAGAUACAAAGUUUAGAGCAAACAUGUCAUCUUCGAUAGUAGUUCCUGUAAUUGAUGUCCAUAGCAACAAUUUCAAAGAGCUAUGGCCAGCCAUGGUGGUUGCAAUUAAAACAUCAUCCUUCAUUGCUCUUGACACGGAGCUGAGUGGUCUGGGAAACAGAAAGUCCCUGUUGGCUGAAUCAAUAGAGGACAGAUACAAAGCAAUAUGUCACGCUGCUCGCUCUCGCUCCAUCCUUUCUUUGGGAAUUGCGUGUUACAAGAAGCUGGAC